RNAcentral lists this ribosomal RNA (451 nucleotides) under uncultured organism. Its description in RNAcentral is "partial 16S ribosomal RNA". It matches the Rfam family "Bacterial small subunit ribosomal RNA", at positions 330 to 797 of the family's 1533-position model. The record is from RNAcentral.
CGUACACUCCUGCGGGAGGCAGCAGUGGGGAAUAUUGGACAAUGGGCGCAAGCCUGAUCCAGCCAUGCCGCGUGAGUGAUGAAGGCCCUAGGGUUGUAAAGCUCUUUCACCGGUGAAGAUAAUGACGGUAACCGGAGAAGAAGCCCCGGCUAACUUCGUGCCGGCAGCCGCGGUAAUACGAAGGGGGCUAGCGUUGUUCGGAUUUACUGGGCGUAAAGCGCACGUAGGCGGACUAUUAAGUCAGGGGUGAAAUCCCGGGGCUCAACCCCGGAACUGCCUUUGAUACUGGUAGUCUUGAGUUCGAGAGAGGUGAGUGGAAUUCCGAGUGUAGAGGUGAAAUUCGUAGAUAUUCGGAGGAACACCAGUGGCGAAGGCGGCUCACUGGCUCGAUACUGACGCUGAGGUGCGAAAGCGUGGGGAGCAAACAGGAUUAGAAACCCUGGUAGUCCCA